GGUUAAGCGACUAAGCGUACACGGUGGAUGCCCUGGCAGUCAGAGGCGAUGAAGGGCGUGCUAAUCUGCGAUAAGCGCCGGUAAGGUGAUAUGAACCGUUAUAACCGGCGAUACCCGAAUGGGGAAACCCAGUGUGACUCGUCACACUAUCAUUAACUGAAUCCAUAGGUUAAUGAGGCGAACCGGGGGAACUGAAACAUCUAAGUACCCCGAGGAAAAGAAAUCAACCGAGAUUCCCCCAGUAGCGGCGAGCGAACGGGGAGGAGCCCAGAGCCUGAAUCAGCAUGUGUGUUAGUGGAAGCGUCUGGAAAGGCGCGCGAUACAGGGUGACAGCCCCGUACACAAAAGCGCAUGUGCUGUGAGCUCGAUGAGUAGGGCGGGACACGUGGUAUCCUGUCUGAAUAUGGGGGGACCAUCCUCCAAGGCUAAAUACUCCUGACUGACCGAUAGUGAACCAGUACCGUGAGGGAAAGGCGAAAAGAACCCCGGCGAGGGGAGUGAAAAAGAACCUGAAACCGUGUACGUACAA
RNAcentral lists this ribosomal RNA (529 nucleotides) under Salmonella enterica. RNAcentral describes it as "partial 23S ribosomal RNA". It matches the Rfam family "Bacterial large subunit ribosomal RNA", at positions 1 to 569 of the family's 2925-position model. Lineage: Bacteria; Pseudomonadati; Pseudomonadota; Gammaproteobacteria; Enterobacterales; Enterobacteriaceae. RNAcentral also lists the same sequence under 1 other name. The record is from RNAcentral.